This 138-nucleotide non-coding RNA is filed under the name Fundulus heteroclitus (mummichog). Lineage: Eukaryota; Metazoa; Chordata; Actinopteri; Cyprinodontiformes; Fundulidae. The record is from RNAcentral.
CUAUUCUGUCAAGUCUGCCCUCCUCUGUCCUUCAGUGAUGGCGGUGGGGUCUCAGACAUACGACACACACUAACUUUGUCAAACAAAGGGGAUGAGUUCUAAGUUAGGAGCUCUAUCCUAAAGGCAGGCAAAGACAUA